RNAcentral lists this long non-coding RNA (282 nucleotides) under Mytilus galloprovincialis (Mediterranean mussel). Lineage: Eukaryota; Metazoa; Mollusca; Bivalvia; Mytilida; Mytilidae. The record is from RNAcentral.
CACUUUUGGACUUUUAAUUUUGAAUAAUAAAAAAACUGCACCAAAUUUUAAAAAGAGGGUACAUUUUGUCUGUUUGUCAAAUCUGAAGUACCUGUUUUGGUACAUCCAAAGUUCCGGGAACCAGUUCUUUCUUAUAUGCAAUUUAAGGUAUGUUGAUUUUUUCAGUACAAGACACCAUAAAGUGUUGCUUUGAAAUGCAUUGAUUGCCCCUUUAUUUGAACUUAAAACAAAAGAGGUGUCCCUGCUUGAAACGGAGGAAUUUAACAUAGAAAGCAAUGGGAC